AGCAUGCAAGUCGAGCGACGAGUACACCUUCGGGUGUACAACGGAGCGGCAGACGGGUGAGUAACGCGUAGGAAUCUACCCUUUAGUGGGGGAUAGCCCAUGGAAACGAGGUGUAAUCCCGCAUAGUUCCGGCAACGGUAAAGCCUUCGGGCGCUAGAGGAGGAGCCUGCGUGCUAUCAGCUAGUUGGUAGAGUAAAAGCCUACCAAGGCGAUGACGGCUAGGGGGUGUGAGAGCACGACCCCCCACAAGGUUACUGAGACACGGAGCCUACACCUACGGGUGGCAGCAACUAAGAAUCUUCCGCAAUGGGCGAAAGCCUGACGGAGCGACACCGCGUGUGGGAAGAAGUAUUUUACGUAUGUAAACCACUGUGGCAGGGGAAGAAUUUUGACGGUACCCUGCUAGAAAGCACCUGCUAACCACGUGCCAGAAGCCUCGGUAAUACGUGGGGUGCAAGCGUUAUCCGGAUUUACUGGGCGUAAAGCGUUCGUAGGCGGAUAUGUAAGUGAUUGGUCAAAGCCCAAGGCUCAACUUUGGACAGGCUGGUCAUACUGCAUAUCUAGAAUUAGUUCGGGGAGGUUGGAAUUCUCGGUGGAGGGGUGAAAUCCGUUGAUAUCGAGAGGAACGCCAAGGGUGAAGACAGGCCUCUAGGACUUAAUUGACGCUGAGGGACGAAAGCUAGGGUAGCAAAGCGGAUUAGAGACCCGUGUAGUCCUAGCCGUAAACGAUGGAUACUAGAUGGCUGUACUUUUAGUGUGGCUGUCGCAAGUUAACGCGUUAAGUAUCCCGCCUGGGGAGUACGACCGCAAGGUUAAAACUCAAAGGAAUUGACGGGGGAGCGCACAAUCGGUGGAUCAUGUGGUUUAAUUCGAUACAAACCGAAGAACCUUACCCAGACUUGACCUAUUAUCUGCACGCUCUGUGAAAGCAGA
RNAcentral lists this ribosomal RNA (933 nucleotides) under uncultured organism. Its description in RNAcentral is "bacterial SSU rRNA". It matches the Rfam family "Bacterial small subunit ribosomal RNA", at positions 52 to 1011 of the family's 1533-position model. The record is from RNAcentral.